RNAcentral lists this ribosomal RNA (401 nucleotides) under Pedinellales sp. RNAcentral describes it as "partial small subunit ribosomal RNA". It matches the Rfam family "Eukaryotic small subunit ribosomal RNA", at positions 582 to 975 of the family's 1831-position model. Lineage: Eukaryota; Dictyochophyceae; Pedinellales. The record is from RNAcentral.
AUUCCAGCUCCAAUAGCGUACAUUAAAGUUGUUGCAGUUAAAACGCUCGUAGUCGGAUUUCUGGUCGGGACGUCUGGCCGGCUCCGCAAGGGGUCGUUGCAUUGACUGUACUCGUCCAUCCUCAGGUUGACUAGCUCUGGUAUUUAUUUAUCGGUGUUAGAACGCCUGUCGUUUACUGUGAACAAAUUAGAGUGUUCAAAGCAAGGUGUACUUGAAUACAUUAGCAUGGAAUAAUAAGAUAGGACUUUGGUGGUUCUUUUUGAUAUUUUGUUGGUUUGCACGCCAAAGUAAUGAUUAAUAGGAGCAGUUGGGGGUAUUCGUAUUCAAUUGUCAGAGGUGAAAUUCUUGGAUUUAUAGAAGACGAACUACUGCGAAAGCAUUUACCAAGGAUGUUUUCAUCG